Molecule: long non-coding RNA, 877 nt
Filed under: Bos taurus (domestic cattle)
Lineage: Eukaryota; Metazoa; Chordata; Mammalia; Artiodactyla; Bovidae
Description: long non-coding RNA NONBTAT026280
Source: RNAcentral
CCUUUGCAAAAGCCCAUCCUGAUCUAAUUGCUCUGAGACUAAGCAUUAUGACUUUAAUAGCAACGUUUCUAUAAAUUUCCAAAUUAAUAUAUUUCAAUUGUUAAAUAACCUAUGGUUCAUUUGGAAGUUUCUGAGCUCUGUACCACCCUUAAUAAAAUGUAACUUUCCCUAACCCAGUUUCUCUACUCUUCUAAUUUCCUUCAAAAUGUCCUUUUUUUCUAUUGCUUGUGGAUUGUUUUCAGGUGGAAACAGAAUACAAAUAGCCUUUGGAAAAGUAAAAAUAAAAAUGGAAACAGUAUAUUCCACAGUCCUCCUACUCUAUGCUUACUGCUGUCAAAUGCAUCAUUAAUAAUACCACUUUUAAGUAAGAAGUUUGGAAAAUUUAGCUGGCUCUAGUAUUUUUUUCACCCAAAUGGCAAAACGGGUCUAAAAUAUGAAAUUAUUCAAAGUACUGAAAACAGUUGCACAGAUAAUCUAAGACAUUGGAAAAUCAAAAGACCUUUAUAUUUGCCUUUGGAACAUAUGUGAUUUUUCCUCCUGCAGCAUUUUGCCUAGACUAAUAUUAAAAUGAAUUUACUUUCCUAAAGCACAUAUUGGCUGGGAAGCUGAAGGACACGCUCUCUGCUAGUUGGCAGGAAGAAACAGGCUUGGAUUAACAUUUGGCCACCAAGCAGAUAAUCUGAAUAUAAAUACUUUCUUAUUCUAACCAGACUGAUGGUGUGCCCUGGGUUAAAAGAUUCCAUUUGCAAUAAAACCUGCUUGCUUGGUGAAUCUGUAUUCAUUCAAAAACACAGAACAUGACUCAUGCUGUGAAAUCUGGUCUUCUGACACUGUUGAUUACCUUAAAGAAAUAAGGUAACGGGGACGUUUACAAAAA